This 496-nucleotide ribosomal RNA is filed under the name uncultured bacterium. RNAcentral's name for it is "partial 16S ribosomal RNA". It matches the Rfam family "Bacterial small subunit ribosomal RNA", at positions 30 to 523 of the family's 1533-position model. The record is from RNAcentral.
AUUGAACGCUGGCGGAAUGCUUUACACAUGCAAGUCGAACGGUAGAGGGGGCAACCCCUCGAGAGUGGCGAACGGGUGAGUAAUAUAUCGGAACGUGCCCAGUCGUGGGGGAUAACGUAGCGAAAGUUACGCUAAUACCGCAUACGAUCUAAGGAUGAAAGCGGGGGAUCGCAAGACCUCGCGCGAUUGGAGAGGCCGAUUUCAGAUUAGGUAGUUGGUGGGGUAAAGGCUCACCAAGCCAACGAUCUGUAGCUGGUCUGAGAGGACGACCAGCCACACUGGAACUGAGACACGGUCCAGGCUCCUACGGGAGGCAGCAGUGGGGAAUUUUGGACAAUGGACGCAAGUCUGAUCCAGCCAUUCCGCGUGCAGGAUGAAGGCCCUCGGGUUGUAAACUGCUUUUGUACGGAACGAAAAGGUCUCUCUUAAUACGGGGGGCUCAUGACGGUACCGUAAGAAUAAGCACCGGCUAACUACGUGCCAGCCGCCGCGGUAA